Molecule: non-coding RNA, 771 nt
Organism: Cyanistes caeruleus (blue tit)
Lineage: Eukaryota; Metazoa; Chordata; Aves; Passeriformes; Paridae
Source: RefSeq, a predicted model, not a curated record
AAGCCUGCUUAGAAACCAUCUUCCUGCAUCACCAUGACCUCAAGAGGACUGGAAAGGACUGACCCCCCUAGACUAUGAGCCAGAACAACAGGUGUCCUGGCUACUCUCAUGAGGAUGGAAGCCCCAGCUCUGCAGUGUGUGCUGCAGAGCUGAAUUGUGCCUCCUCCUUGGAGCUGCCAGUGUGGGAAUGGCCGUGGUGCCAGCAACUCCUCGGGCCCCCCACCCCAAGAGCUGAAUCCUAAGAAAGGCAUCAAACAGGAGUCUUGUCUCCUGGCCAAUUUCCUUCAGUGGACAAGGAGACAGAUAAAGCACAGGAGAGGGAAAAUGCUCCCUAAAUCACAGAAUUUAGCUGCAUAAUUCUUGUGCAUGAAGACCCGGAGAAGACAAAAGAUUGUUGUUUUAAGAGCUAAUAUUGCAGAAACGCCUAAGCACAAUGACCACAUGUCCGGCUGUGAAGGCAAGAGGCUGAAACUGCAGAGCUGAAGCUGCAAGAUGCUGUCCGGCUGUACAAAGGGGAAGUAGAACAUCUCCUUAUUCAGGAGAAUUGCCUCCCCGCCACCACCGGGAGGCAGAAGAAGACCCCCUAGCAACAGGAGGCGCAGGCGCUGAUGUGAUCCAGGAAGACACAGAGGCAGAGACUGUAUAAAAAAGGGAACCUCCUCAGCCAAGGCUGAGCGUGUGGGACGCUUAAGAGGAAGUGUCCUCCGGCUGCCCCAGCUGGCUUUUGCUUGCUUUACUGCUUGCUGGAUUAAUAAAAUUGGCUUUCAUUAA